CUAAGACCCCAAAUAAACACCUUUGUUGCCUUGCAAAAAAAAAAAAAGGAGCCCAGAGUGACAGUUUUCCCUGACGGUCGCUGUUCUGUUUGCUGUAACUUAUCUGCAACGAUUUCGGGAAAAGACAGUU
RNAcentral lists this small nucleolar RNA (130 nucleotides) under Dasypus novemcinctus (nine-banded armadillo). The record is from RNAcentral. Lineage: Eukaryota; Metazoa; Chordata; Mammalia; Cingulata; Dasypodidae.